RNAcentral lists this ribosomal RNA (468 nucleotides) under uncultured bacterium. Its description in RNAcentral is "partial 16S ribosomal RNA". It matches the Rfam family "Bacterial small subunit ribosomal RNA", at positions 28 to 507 of the family's 1533-position model. The record is from RNAcentral.
GACGAACGCUGGCGGCGUGCUUAACACAUGCAAGUCGAACGGAAAGGCCCUGCUUUUGUUGGGUGCUCGAGUGGCGAACGGGUGAGUAACACGUGAGUAACCUGCCCUUGACUUUGGGAUAACUUCAGGAAAUUGGGGCUAAUACCGGAUAGGAGCUCCUGCUGCAUGGUGGGGGUUGGAAAGUUUCGGCGGUUGGGGAUGGACUCGCGGCUUAUCAGCUUGUUGGUGGGGUAGUGGCUUACCAAGGCUUUGACGGGUAGCCGGCCUGAGAGGGUGACCGGCCACAUUGGGACUGAGAUACGGCCCAGACUCCUACGGGAGGCAGCAGUGGGGAAUAUUGCAAAAUGGGCGGAAGCCUGAUGCAGCAACGCCGCGUGCGGGAUGACGGCCUUCGGGUUGUAAACCGCUUUCGCCUGUGACGAAGCGUGAGUGACGGUAAUGGGUAAAGAAGCACCGGCUAACUACGUG